CGGAGGGUGCAAGCGUUAUCCGGAUUCACUGGGUUUAAAGGGUGCGUAGGCGGGCAGGUAAGUCCGUGGUGAAAUCCUAUAGCUUAACUAUAGAACUGCCAUGGAUACUAUUUGUCUUGAAUAUCGUAGAGGUAAGCGGAAUAUGUCAUGUAGCGGUGAAAUGCUUAGAUAUGACAUAGAACACCAAUUGCGAAGGCAGCUUGCUAUGCGAUUAUUGACGCUGAGGCACGAAAGCGUGGGUAGCAAACAGGAUUAGAUACCCUGGUAGUCCACGCCCUAAACGAUGAUAACUCGACAUACGCGAUAUACUGUGUGUGUCUGAGCGAAAGCAUUAAGUUAUCCACCUGGGAAGUACGAUCGCAAGAUUG
RNAcentral lists this ribosomal RNA (368 nucleotides) under uncultured organism. RNAcentral's name for it is "bacterial SSU rRNA". It matches the Rfam family "Bacterial small subunit ribosomal RNA", at positions 526 to 896 of the family's 1533-position model. The record is from RNAcentral.